RNAcentral lists this ribosomal RNA (560 nucleotides) under Candidatus Atelocyanobacterium thalassae. Its description in RNAcentral is "bacterial SSU rRNA". It matches the Rfam family "Bacterial small subunit ribosomal RNA", at positions 498 to 1056 of the family's 1533-position model. The record is from RNAcentral. Lineage: Bacteria; Bacillati; Cyanobacteriota; Cyanophyceae; Chroococcales; Aphanothecaceae.
UAGUCUGGUGCCAGCAGCCGCGGUAAUACGGGAGUGGCAAGCGUUAUCCGGAAUUAUUGGGCGUAAAGCGUCCGCAGGCGGCUUUUCAAGUCUGCUGUUAAAGCGUGGAGCUUAACUCCAUCAUGGCAGUGGAAACUGAAAGGCUUGAGUAUGGUAGGGGCAGAGGGAAUUCCCGGUGUAGCGGUGAAAUGCGUAGAUAUCGGGAAGAACACCAGUGGCGAAGGCGCUCUGCUGGGCCAUUACUGACGCUCAUGGACGAAAGCCAGGGGAGCGAAAGGGAUUAGAUACCCCUGUAGUCCUGGCCGUAAACGAUGAACACUAGGUGUCGGGGGAAUCGACCCCUUCGGUGUCGUAGCUAACGCGUUAAGUGUUCCGCCUGGGGAGUACGCACGCAAGUGUGAAACUCAAAGGAAUUGACGGGGGCCCGCACAAGCGGUGGAGUAUGUGGUUUAAUUCGAUGCAACGCGAAGAACCUUACCAGGGUUUGACAUCCUGCGAACCUCUUAGAAAUUUGAGGGUGCCUUCGGGAAUGCAGUGACAGGUGGUGCAUGGCCGUUCUU